AGGCGGCGCGGGGGCACCGCCGCCGGCCCCCGUCCGUCCCCCGUCGGAACCGAGCCGUCCGCCAUCGUUGCGCCGCCGGGCUGCGUGAAGCGGCGGCUGACCGCGAGCGGCGGGACCCGCCGGCGUCCGGGAGCGGCUCCUGGCUGAGCCGGGCAGCCCCGAAAGAGAGGGAGCGAUCGCGCGGGUCGAGGCGCGUUCGAGCCCGGCACGGAGUCAGCGAGAGCCUUCGGCUGCUGCCCCGCAGCUGCAGUCCCCAGGUGCCGUUUUCCAUCUGUCCGCCUGUCUGUCCCCGCGCGCAGCUCCCGGAGCUGCGUGAAGCCGACGUGGAGCCGCUUCGAGUUGGCCCCGAGGAGGGAAGCCGCGAGGGGGGAUGAUUGUCAGGAUGGGAGCUGGUUGGGAACGCGGUCAUUCCUCUGUUUACUGCUCUGUGUGUUCAACGAUUAAAUGUUUAGCGUUCGUUUUUCAGCGCUUCUGUCUGCAGCGUCCCGCUGCCCACCGCUGGGUGAGGACAGGGCAGCUCAAAUGGCCGUGUCGUAGGACUGCACCCACCAGCGCCUUUCCUUCCCCCGCAUCCCCUCCCCUCCUCAGCACCGCGUGGGAAAUGGCUGGCGUGGGAUUCUGGCAGAGCUGGGGCGGCUCAGCCUGCAGAAGAGGAGGCUCGGGGGAUCCCGGGCACGGCCAUCAGUCCCCGCAGGGAGGUGCGGAGAGGACGGAACCAGGCUGCGCCCGGCGGUGCCCAGCAGCAGUGCCGGAGGCUCACGCUGCAGCACAGCAGGUUUCCCUGCGUGCCAGCGCUGAGCCCCCAGCUCUGGUCAGCGCCGUUGGACAUUUUUGCCAAUGAUCACGAUGCAGGAGAUGAGCGCAUCCUCGCGAAAUGCACCGGGAAUCCUAAGGCACGAGGUGCUGCUGGCACUCCUGAGACGGUGGCAGUUCGGCCCAGUACCUCAAGGUGGCAGCAGGACCCCCAACAACAACGGAAACGUCGGCUCCCCAGAGCCCCGUGUAUGGCUGUGAGAAUGAUGGAGGGCCAGUUGGGUUAAAGCCUCCUGAGAUCAUACGAAUGGUAAAUCCCGCUUGACAAACGUGAUGUCAUUCUCUGACAAGGUGACCCGCUUAGUGGAUGAAGGUGAGGCUGUUGAUUUGGUCUACCUGGACUGCAGUAAGGCCUGUGACACUGUCCCCCACAGCAUCCUCGUGGAGAAGCUGGCUGCCCAUGGUUUGGAUGGGCGUACGCUCUGCUGGGUGAAACACUGUCUGGAUGGCCAGGCCCAAAGAGUUGUGGUCAAUGGAGCUGAACCCAGCUGGCGGCCAGUCACGAGUGGUGUCCCCCACGGCUCAGUGCGGGGACCACUCGUAUUUAACGUCUUUAUCAAUAAUCUUGAUGAGGGGAUUGAGUUCAUCCUCAGUAAGUUUGCAGAUGACACCAAGCUGGGAGGGAGUGUUGAUCUGCCGGAGGGGAGAAAGGCACUGCAGAGGGACCUGGACAGAUUGGUCAGUUGGCUGAGGCAAACUGUAUGAGUUUCAAUAGGGCUGAGUGUCGGGUCCUGGGGGCUGGUCUCUUCUCACCGCUGACAGGACGAGGGG
Molecule: non-coding RNA, 1584 nt
Organism: Phasianus colchicus (ring-necked pheasant)
Lineage: Eukaryota; Metazoa; Chordata; Aves; Galliformes; Phasianidae
Source: RefSeq, a predicted model, not a curated record